This 18-nucleotide unclassified non-coding RNA is filed under the name Mus musculus (house mouse). RNAcentral describes it as "oocyte_clustered_small_RNA10718". Lineage: Eukaryota; Metazoa; Chordata; Mammalia; Rodentia; Muridae. The record is from RNAcentral.
GGAAGGUUGGGUUCUCCA